GAGAGAGAGAGAGAGAGAGAGAGAGAGAGAGAUUCUUGAGUAGUGAAGAUGGCACAUAUCCUUGAAUGGGAUGUGUUGUAGGAUGUGUUUUGUUUUUCUUCCCCUUCAAGUCUGUUGUUACCCUCCUGCUCUUCAAGUCUUCUUCAAGAGCUAGGCCAGUGCAGCCAGUCUUCACCCCGUGGUCCUUAAAGUGCUACUACUCUGUGUGGGCCCCUCCACUGCCCGCCUGUGCAGUGGGCCCUGUGCUUGCUUGCUUGCUUGCUUGCUUACUCUCUGACACCGCUGUAGCUUGCCCUUAGGUCUGUGUUGCUCCCAUACCCUCAGCAGUUUUUGUUCUGCGCCUCUUCUAUUCAUGUCUCUUUAUUUACCUCAGCCUCCUGUCACAAGCUUCUCACACCACUUCUGGAAAGGUCUUUGGCUUCUCUGUUUCGGCCCUGACUGGGUGAAUGCUAGGACACUUUGGUCCCUUCUGGUUUUCCAACCUGGCCUUAUAGCUUUAUGACCUUUUCCAUUAAGGUUUGUAGCCCAGGGAAUCUUUGCUCUUAAUACAGGGCAUCUUGUUCUUUGAGCAGGAGAAGUUUGGAUUCUGAGUAACUUCUUGAUUCAUUGUCAUGACCUUUCUGGGCUUUCUUUGUAAGCACCUGAAGAGAGAGGAGAGGGUUGAGGGGAAGGAGGCAGGCAGACAGACACAUAGAUUGACUGACUGAGCCCAUCUUUGCACUUUGAGUCUUCUGUGUUGGGUGCUGGGACCAUAGCGUAAUUGUGCUGUUUGAUUUAACUCUUUCUGUGAAAUAGAUGUUGUUACUAUCUCUACAGAUAAGGAAAUUAAGUCAUGAGUAGUAGGUUAAGGAGCUUGCCCCGAGUUGCUUGGCUCUCCAGCGGAGGCCAGGUGAUGGCAGUGGGUCAUGUAUUCCCAAAGCCUGGCUCUUGUGCCUUUCUUGGGCCCUUUUUUGUGAUCUCAUGGUGCCACUCCUGGAAUGUGGCUCCUGAGAGAUCUCUGUGUAAGCACUGUUUCUUUCCAGUCCACACAACCUUUGAAGCUCUAUUUAUGAUCACAGCCCUAGCCUGUACCUCUGGACCCUCACAGAAGCCCAUGUCCUAACAAGCAGGAGUGAGCCUGCGAUGUUGCCUGUAAGCUGGAUUUAAAUGUCAGCCUCUGGCUUGCUCUGAGCAGGAAGACUGUCUGGGGGAGGUGACUGCUGUUACUCAGUAUUUACCACAGACCUUGAAUCUGUCUGAUGUACAGCAGUAGGCCCGGAAGGCCUUAGGUACCACAACCUUGGGGACCCUCAGAGUCCAGUUGCUCAGAGCAAAUACUUGCGACCCGCUGCCUGCUUUCUGCAGAUGGUUAUGCUUCUGUCCUGAUGCCCGAGCAUGCUGUGUGGCGCUGGCUGUGCCCAGACUUCAGGCUCUUGUAAUACUGAGCCAUUUAACUUGUAACAGAAGUGUGGCUAAGUGUGAACCUGGACUGUCACCUAGGAACAAGUGUGAACAUGUCAUUGGCCCUGUGGUAUGUGUAAACCAAGGUGGGGAAGGAGACCCUCUGAAUCCUGUGUUUCUUUCUCAGAAGCAAGAGGGCACUCACCUCAUUAGCAUUCUGCAUCUCAGCAUUUGGCCCAGCAGUCUCAGGGCUCACCCCUGCCCAGCGUAAUUACACGGAUGAUGUCGGUGAUGUGGCUGUGAAGACACUUCUCCCUGACCUGGGUGGAAUGGCCUCCUGUGACUUAGACUUGAAGGCUUUACAAGGACCUGUGGCUACUGGAUGAUUAGCCUCUACAAGAUUUUAUUCUUGAGCAUUUCAGACGCACCGAGAAUGGAAAGAACUCACAGUGAUUGCUUUCAUAUGCACUGUGUGGGCAUUGUGGGCAGCACUGAGCUGACCCCGUUUCCCCCAUAUCCUCCCCCAGUUGGUGUAGUUUUGGAUUUUAAACUCAACUGUUACAUUCACAGUGUCUCCUCUCUUGUCUACCUUUUUAUUAACUUGUAAAAAAAAAUUGUAUGUUUG
RNAcentral lists this long non-coding RNA (2005 nucleotides) under Mus musculus (house mouse). RNAcentral describes it as "long non-coding RNA chr1:89511096-89513101". Lineage: Eukaryota; Metazoa; Chordata; Mammalia; Rodentia; Muridae. The record is from RNAcentral.